Mycena leptocephala is the source of this 92-nucleotide non-coding RNA. The record is from the annotation of a GenBank genome assembly. Lineage: Eukaryota; Fungi; Basidiomycota; Agaricomycetes; Agaricales; Mycenaceae.
CACCCGAUGGUACAAGGUGUGUGCCUUUCACAAAUAUCUUGAACUUGGCAUGAGGAGACUCAAUGUCCCUCGUUCGAUUCGAGGUCGGGUGA